This is a long non-coding RNA of Bubalus bubalis (water buffalo), 961 nucleotides long. RefSeq lists it as uncharacterized. The transcript is spliced from 2 exons. The record is from RefSeq and is a predicted model, not a curated record. Lineage: Eukaryota; Metazoa; Chordata; Mammalia; Artiodactyla; Bovidae.
AACGCUGGCGCGCCGCCAGUCUCGGCUGACAGGCGAGGUGACGGGGUCGCGUAGGAGGGGUUGCGGCGGACACCCUGGGGAGAAGGCCCAAGAUGAUGGUCAGGAGAGCUGAGGGGCGGGCGCUGUGCCGGCUGGAAACCCAGGGUCGUUUGUGGUCUGCAGCCGCUGCCAGCCAGGAGCCUCCGCUGGGAGCCGGCCCUGCCGUUCACGCGGAGCAGCUCAGGCCCGGCCUGCCUCCGGCGCGCUCUGUCCUCCCAGGCCGCUGACGCCAUCGGAAGGCGACCGGAAGCGCCGCCGCUGACGCCAUCGGAAGGCGACCGGAAGCGCCGGCGCCGCGUGGCCCUGUGCCCUGUUCCCGAACCCUCUCCGCGCUGUCUCUCCGUGUCCCGUCCUUGGUUCCCUUCUCUGAUUGCAAAGUGGGUCUCUCUGACCUGUUUCUGAGCCCCAUGGGGAAGGAUAAGAAGCGGAGUAGGAGGCGAGGGAGCAAGGAGUGAAGGAAGGGUCUCCUUGCAGACUGUCUGCUAUCAGGCCACGCUCCGGUUGGAACAGAGGCGCGGGUGAAUUUGUCUCUUUCAAAUAGACAAGUGUUUUACGCUUUCGCAUUUACAUUUAGUGUAUCUUCCCCACUGUUGAGUGACCUCCCUGGCCAGCAAGGAGAUCACCCAGGAUGACCCACCUCCCGGGGGCUUGGCCCUAGGUGUCCUGUCGCAGAGCCGGGGUCCUGGAAAGAGGGUUUGGGGAGGGUGUGUGCCUGGCGUCUGCCCUCUUUUCUCGCAGCCCCUCCUAGCUAAGGUCUUCCGUCUCAGACAGUACUGUGUAGAUUUAGCCUCUCCGACUUCUUCCAGUUCUCUAGGCACCCGUGACCUCGUGCACCCAGAGGAAGGUGCAAGGGCCAUGGGACAGUAGGUGGGAGGAGUGGAUAAAACUGGGCAUUUGUGCAAAAUAAACGUUGACAUUUUAA